RNAcentral lists this transfer RNA (74 nucleotides) under Desmodesmus abundans. Its description in RNAcentral is "tRNA-Ile". It matches the Rfam family "tRNA". From Rfam's summary of the family: Transfer RNA (tRNA) molecules are approximately 80 nucleotides in length. Their secondary structure includes four short double-helical elements and three loops (D, anti-codon, and T loops). Further hydrogen bonds mediate the characteristic L-shaped molecular structure. tRNAs have two regions of fundamental functional importance: the anti-codon, which is responsible for specific mRNA codon recognition, and the 3' end, to which the tRNAs corresponding amino acid is attached (by aminoacyl-tRNA synthetases). tRNAs cope with the degeneracy of the genetic code in two manners: having more than one tRNA (with a specific anti-codon) for a particular amino acid; and 'wobble' base-pairing, i.e. permitting non-standard base-pairing at the 3rd anti-codon position. Lineage: Eukaryota; Viridiplantae; Chlorophyta; Chlorophyceae; Sphaeropleales; Scenedesmaceae. The record is from RNAcentral. RNAcentral also lists the same sequence under 1 other name.
GGACCAUUAGCUCAGUUGGUAGAGCGCUCGCUUGAUAAGCGAGAGGUUCACUGGUUCAAGUCCAGUAUGGUCCA